RNAcentral lists this ribosomal RNA (439 nucleotides) under uncultured bacterium. Its description in RNAcentral is "bacterial SSU rRNA". It matches the Rfam family "Bacterial small subunit ribosomal RNA", at positions 8 to 447 of the family's 1533-position model. The record is from RNAcentral.
AGAGUUUGAUCCUGGCUCAGAUUGAACGCUGGCGGCGUGCCUAACACAUGCAAGUCGAGCGGUAACAGGUGUAGCAAUACAUGCUGACGAGCGGCGAACGGGUGAGUAAUGCUUUGGAAUCUUCCCAGUAGUGGGGAAUAACCAGUCGAAAGAUUGGCUAAUACCGCAUACGUCUGUAAAGGGAAAGCGGGGGCUCGUAAGACCUCGCGCUAUUGGAUGAGCCAAAGUCGGAUUAGCUAGUUGGUGGGGUAAUGGCCUACCAAGGCGACAAUCCGUAGCUGGUCUGAGAGGACGACCAGCCACACCGGAACUGAGACACGGUCCGGACUCCUACGGGAGGCAGCAGUGGGGAAUAUUGGACAAUGGGGGAAACCCUGAUCCAGCGACGCCGCGUGUGUGAAGAAGGCCUGCGGGUUGUAAAGCACUUUUAGUGGGGACA